RNAcentral lists this ribosomal RNA (424 nucleotides) under uncultured bacterium. RNAcentral's name for it is "bacterial SSU rRNA". It matches the Rfam family "Bacterial small subunit ribosomal RNA", at positions 355 to 776 of the family's 1533-position model. The record is from RNAcentral.
UAAGGAAUAUUGGGCAAUGGACGCAAGUCUGACCCAGCCAUGCCGCGUGAAGGAUGACGGCCCUAUGGGUUGUAAACUUCUUUUGUACGGGAAAAAACCUUCGAACGUGUUCGAAGCUGAUGGUACCGUAAGAAUAAGCAUCGGCUAACUCCGUGCCAGCAGCCGCGGUAAUACGGAGGAUGCAAGCGUUAUCCGGAUUCAUUGGGUUUAAAGGGUGCGUAGGCGGGAUGAUAAGUCAGUGGUGAAAUCCUACAGCUUAACUGUAGAACUGCCAUUGAUACUGUCAACCUUGAGUACAAUUGAAGUGGGCGGAAUGUGUCAUGUAGCGGUGAAAUGCUUAGAUAUGACACAGAACACCGAUAGCGAAGGCAGCUCACUAAACUGUAACUGACGCUGAGGCACGAAAGCGUGGGGAUCAAACAGG